CGGGUGAGUAACGCGUGGAAAACCUGCCGUAUACUGGGGGAUAACACUUAGAAAUAGGUGCUAAUACCGCAUAAGCGCACAGCUUCGCAUGAAGUGGUGUGAAAAACUCUGGUGGUAUACGAUGGUUCCGCGUCUGAUUAGCUUGUUGGUGGGGUAAUGGCUCACCAAGGCGACGAUCAGUAGCCGGCCUGAGAGGGUGAACGGCCACAUUGGGACUGAGACACGGCCCAGACUCCUACGGGAGGCAGCAG
This 251-nucleotide ribosomal RNA is filed under the name uncultured bacterium. RNAcentral describes it as "partial 16S ribosomal RNA". It matches the Rfam family "Bacterial small subunit ribosomal RNA", at positions 103 to 354 of the family's 1533-position model. The record is from RNAcentral.